RNAcentral lists this transfer RNA (70 nucleotides) under Araneus diadematus (European garden spider). RNAcentral's name for it is "tRNA-Ile". The record is from RNAcentral. Lineage: Eukaryota; Metazoa; Arthropoda; Arachnida; Araneae; Araneidae.
UGAAUAGUGCCUGAUAUAAAAGGGUUAACUUGAUAGGUUAAAUAAUGAAAAAAUUUAUAUAUCUAUUCGU